AAUGGAACAAUGUAGGCAAGGGAAGUCGGCAAAAUGGAUUCGUAACCUCGGGAAAAGGAUUGGCUCUAAGGUCUGGGCACGGGGGCCCUAGUCUCUAACCCAUCGGUUACCGGUGCACUGCUCGAGCUACUUUCACGGCGAGAGUGGGUUGCCGCAUGCCGAUCGAGGGACAGACUGGGAACGGCUCCCUUAGGGGCCUUCCCCGGGCGACGAACAGCAAACUCAGAACUGGUACAGAUAAGGGGAAUCCGACUGUUUAAUUAAAACAAAACAUUGUGAUGGUCCCUGCGGAUGCUCACGCAAUGUGAUUUCUGCCCAGUGCUUUUAAUGUCAAAGUGAAGAAAUUCAACCAAGCGCGGGUAAACAGUGGGAGUAACUAUGAGUCUCUUAAGGUAGCCAAAUGCCUCAUCAUCUAAUUAGUGACGCCCAUGAAUGGAUUAACGAGAUUCCCACUGUCCCUGUCUACUAUCCAAUGAAACCACUGCCAAGGGAACGGGCUUGGCAGAAUCAAUGGGGAAAGAAGACCCUGUUGAGCUUGACUCUAGUCCGACUUUGUGAAAUGACUUUUAAUGUUAUUUUACUUAUUUAGUGAAUCAAAGGCGGGGCCAGCCCCUCUUUUUGGACCCAAGGUUGUCUUCGGCUGGCCGAUCCAGGCAGAAGACAUUGUCAGGUGGGGAGUUUGGCUGGGGUGGCACAUCUGUUAAAAGAUAAUGCAGGUGUCCUAAGAUAAACUCAACGAGAAUAGAAAUCUCGUGUGGAACAAAAAGGAAAAAGCUUGUUUGAUUAUGAUUUCCAGUACGAGUACGAACCGUGAAAGCAUGGCCUAUCGAUCCUUUAAACCUUCAAAAUUUGAAGCUAGAGGUGUCAAAAAAUUUACCACAGGGAUAACUGGCUUUUGGCAGCCAAACGUUCAUAAAUCCUUCGAUGUUGGCUCUUCCUAUCAUUGUGAAGCAGAAUUCACCAAGUGUUGGAUUGUUCACCCACCAAUAGGGAACGUGAGUUGGGUUUAGACCCUCGUGAGACAGGUUAGUUUUCCCCUACUGAUGGCCGCGUCGCAAUAUUAAUUCAACCUAGUACGAGAGGAACCGUUAAUUCACACAAUUGGUCAUCGCGCUUGGUUGAAAAGCCAGUGGCGCGAAGCUACCGUGUGCUGGAUUAUGACUGAAUGCCUCUAAGUCAGAAUCAAGGCUAGAAGUGAUGCAAGCGCUCGUCGCCCGAUUGCCGACCCGCAGUAGGGGCCUUUGGCCCCUAAGGGCAUGUGUCGUAGGUGCAGCGACCCCCGCGGACAAGUCGCGGGCGCCUCCUUAGAGCGUAAUUCCCACCAAGCGGCGAGUAGAAUCCUUUGCAGACUACUUAAAUACGCGACAGGGUAUUGUAAGUGGCAGGGUGGCCUUACUGCCACGAUCCACUGAGAUUCAGCCCUUUGUCGCUUCGAUUC
This 1438-nucleotide non-coding RNA is filed under the name Gossypium hirsutum (cotton). Its description in RNAcentral is "Eukaryotic large subunit ribosomal RNA". It matches the Rfam family "Eukaryotic large subunit ribosomal RNA", at positions 1889 to 3399 of the family's 3401-position model. The record is from Rfam by way of RNAcentral. Lineage: Eukaryota; Viridiplantae; Streptophyta; Magnoliopsida; Malvales; Malvaceae.